AUGAGAAACCACAAGGGUUGGAGUAAAAACAGCCGAAGAGAUAAGGUUAUCUUCCUUUUUCUCUCAAGAGCGGUUCCUGAUGGGGAUUUCUCCCGUAACCGCCAGCGUGCAGGAGACGGGAGGCGGCGCGGCGCACGGCCAUGGUGUGGGGCGCGUCGCAGAGCAGGCGGACGGGUGCGGGGCGCGUCGGGCUGGCACGACCAGGGGCCACGACUCUCCUUGGACCGAGGAUCCGGGCCGUGGCCCUUGCUGACGGAGCCACGGACGCCGGUGGAGGGCGGGUCGACGCGACCACGUAGCCGCCGUCGUGGGCUCUGCCACGCCGCGAUGAUGCAGGCUGCGGCCGCACAAUCAUCUUCAUACCUCCGCGGUCCAACGAUAGGACAGAUACGCACGACGACGAAUGUCCUUGUGGAGAAGAAAUUCAGUUCUUCUUCCACUUUUGAUUUUCCUCUCAUGGAGUUCACUGGAGUUGAAAAUCGCUGGAGUUGCCGCCGCUCUCCGCCGAGGGCACUGCAAUUCGUGUGGGCUCCUCCGACGUCUGGUACAGCAGUGACGCCGACCACCGCAAGGCAGCGGGCACCGCGCGUGGGAGGUGCCUGCCGGAUUUUACCAUGGGCAAUGGAUUUUGUGCGCCUGAGUCGCGCGAUCCUGUGGCCUAUUAGCUCAGCUGGUUAG
RNAcentral lists this ribosomal RNA (678 nucleotides) under Triticum aestivum (bread wheat). Its description in RNAcentral is "partial small subunit ribosomal RNA". The record is from RNAcentral. Lineage: Eukaryota; Viridiplantae; Streptophyta; Magnoliopsida; Poales; Poaceae.